GAAAUGCGAUAAGUAAUGUGAAUUGCAGAAUUCAGUGAAUCAUCGAUUCUUUGAACGCACAUUGCGCCCGCCAGCACUCUGGCGGGCAUGCCUGUUCGAGCGUCAUUUCAACCAUCAAGCCCCCGGGCUUGUGUUGGGGACCUGCGGCUGCCCGCAGGCCCUGAAAACCAGUGGCGGGCUCGCUGUCACACCGAGCGUAGUAGCAAUCACCUCGCUCAGGGCGUGCUGCGGGUUCCGGCCGUUAAACAGCCUUACAAAACCCAAGGUUGACCUCGGAUCAGGUAGGAAGACCCGCUGAACUUAAGC
RNAcentral lists this unclassified non-coding RNA (306 nucleotides) under plant metagenome. RNAcentral's name for it is "partial contains 5.8S ribosomal RNA, internal transcribed spacer 2, and large subunit ribosomal RNA". The stretch from base 1 to 105 matches the Rfam family "5.8S ribosomal RNA", at positions 50 to 154 of the family's 154-position model. The record is from RNAcentral.